Molecule: long non-coding RNA, 1372 nt
Filed under: Fragaria vesca (wild strawberry)
Lineage: Eukaryota; Viridiplantae; Streptophyta; Magnoliopsida; Rosales; Rosaceae
Description: long non-coding RNA (FVES_LNC001423)
Source: RNAcentral
CAAAUCAUAAUUAACAUUUAAAUUUCCAUAGUCUCAUAUAUCCACGAUAUUUCCAUCGAAAUUUUCUCGAAGUCCGAUAUUUUACUCCUUGAUCAAGAGAACUCCCUCAUGAAUUCAUAACCGGUACUACAUCAGCCAAUCCAUGCAUACUGAUUGAUAGUAUGUGAUGGGCUAAUGGCAUGGUCAGCUUACUGAAGCUCUUAAUCUUUGUAUAUAGUAUGGUUCAAUCUCUCACUCCAUACCCAUCAUAGGGAAAUCAACAGAAAAUUAAGCAGAAGAAAACACAAUUAAGAAAGCUGGUAACAUGAUAUUUAAAGUAGCAACCCACAAAACAAAUCACAAAUCCUAGCUAAGCUAGGAGAUGUGGAUUUGCAGAUCACAGCACCAAAUCUUAUUUUACACGAUAAUAAGCUAGUCUCUAACCCAACUAGAGAAUUCAUCUUCAACAAUAUUUUCUUAUUUAUAUAGACCACAUGAGGUGCAGCUCACUGCCAAGCUUCUUUCACUUGUGGCAGCCGCAUGAGGUGCAGCUGCAGUUGCUGCCGCACUUGCAGCCAUUUUCAGCACCAAAGCUCAUCUCUGACUCCUCAAAGUACCUGCCAGUGCAACAUAAUUUUAGCCACCAAACUAAAGUUUAAUCUGUCUUGUCAUGAAAUAGAAACACCAAUCAAUCAUUUAUUAUGGUUUUUUCACGUCAAUACAAAAUGAUGUUGCAGACACAUGCUUAUAUUAACACAAAAGUGAUUCAUCUGCAUGGAAGUUGAGGGGAAAAAACUUACAUGGUGGUUGAUGGAACCCCAGAGAUGAUAGUUGCUGUUGUGCUGCUCUCAAGAUCUGGGUAGUUUCCACAGCUGCAUGUACAAUACAUAAUUUGAGACUAAGCUACAAAAAAAGUAUUUUGUAGAAAUUAUAGCAAUUGAUCAAGAUUAUCAGAGAAAGUUAGGAGAAUAAGGAGAUUACUUGCAGCUAGAGCCGCAUUUGCAGUCAGAGCCACAUUUGCAGCUUGUUGAUCCACACCCAGACAUAUUUCCAAAGGUUUUUUAGGAAUGAAGAAAAGAUAUUAAUUCUGGAAAUUGUAUUCAAAGUCUGGGAUGAGUUCUCUAUCAAGGCCUCAACUGCUAUUUAUAGUGCAAUGGGAGAUGCAGGUUGCAAUAUCCACCAUACACGUGGCUGAACCUAGAUAUCUUUAUAUAACUAGUAAAUUCUUUACUUGCCAUGUAACUUAUCAAUACUAGAGUCUGGAUGCUCUGACUUAUAUUUUUGUAAACUUUAGUUUUAUACCAAUUAAUUGCCUUCUCAAUAUGAAUUUUAAACCCUAAGAGCAAUGAUAGUUAGGAUAGCAUGUUGAUAUUGAGAUUCGGACUUCAGAAGC